Small nuclear RNA from Rhincodon typus (whale shark), 108 nucleotides. The record is from RefSeq and is a predicted model, not a curated record. NCBI's taxonomy places the organism in Eukaryota, Metazoa, Chordata, Chondrichthyes, Orectolobiformes, Rhincodontidae.
UUACAUUUCUUCAGUCGCACUUAUAUUGAAAUUGGACCAAUGCAGAAAAGAUUAGCAUGGCCCCUGCACGAGGAUGACAUGCAAAUGGAUGAAGCAUUGCAUGUUUAA